Molecule: ribosomal RNA, 493 nt
Filed under: uncultured bacterium
Lineage: Bacteria
Description: partial 16S ribosomal RNA
Rfam family: Bacterial small subunit ribosomal RNA
Source: RNAcentral
GACGAACGCUGGCGGCGUGCUUAACACAUGCAAGUCGAACGGUGAAGCGCCUUCCUUUUUGGUGGGUGUGGAUGAGUGGCGAACGGGUGAGUAACACGUGAGUAACCUGCCCCCUUCUUCUGGAUAACCGCAUGAAAGUGUGGCUAAUACGGGAUAUUCUGGGUCUGUCGCAUGAUGGGUCUGGGAAAGAUAUUGUUUCGGUGGGGGAUGGGCUCGCGGCCUAUCAGCUUGUUGGUGGGGUGAUGGCCUACCAAGGCGGUGACGGGUAGCCGGCCUGAGAGGGUGGACGGUCACACUGGGACUGAGACACGGCCCAGACUCCUACGGGAGGCAGCAGUGGGGAAUAUUGCACAAUGGCGCAAGCCUGAUGCAGCGACGCCGCGUGAGGGAUGGAGGCCUGCGGGUUGUGAACCUCUUUCGCCAGUGAAGCAGGCCUGCCUCGUUUGUGGGUGGGUUGACGGUAGCUGGAUAAGAAGCGCCGGCUAACUACGUG